GGGAAAGCCAACGUCAUGGCUGAUGCGCUAAGUCGUAAAUCUUAUUGUAACAACCUGAUGUUACAACAAAGUCAACCGCUUCUCCAUGAGGAAUUUCGGAAGCUUAACCUUCACAUUGUACCUCAAGGUUUUCUUUCCACCUUGGUGGCAAAACCUACCCUUACGGAUCAAAUUGUCAAAGCACAGAAGGUAGAUCCGGGAAUCUCCCGCAUCAAGAGGAACAUUCAGAAAGGAAUUGCGAAUUGUUUCUCCAUUAAUGAUCAAGGAGUCGUAUACUUCGGGAAUCGAUUAGUGGUUCCCAAAGUGUGCAACCUAAGGCGAUUAAUCCUUAAGGAAGCUCAUGAAUCUCCUCUCACCAUUCAUCCCGGUAGCACUAAAAUGUAUCAGGACCUACGCCAGAGGUUCUGGUGGACUAGGAUGAAGAGAGAAAUC
This 432-nucleotide ribosomal RNA is filed under the name Triticum aestivum (bread wheat). Its description in RNAcentral is "partial small subunit ribosomal RNA". The record is from RNAcentral. Lineage: Eukaryota; Viridiplantae; Streptophyta; Magnoliopsida; Poales; Poaceae.